This 253-nucleotide ribosomal RNA is filed under the name uncultured bacterium. RNAcentral describes it as "partial 16S ribosomal RNA". It matches the Rfam family "Bacterial small subunit ribosomal RNA", at positions 524 to 776 of the family's 1533-position model. The record is from RNAcentral.
UACAGAGGGGGCAAGCGUUGUUCGGAAUUACUGGGCGUAAAGGGCGCGUAGGCGGCCUGUUAAGUCGAACGUGAAAUCCCCGGGCUCAACCCGGGAACUGCGUCCGAUACUGGCAGGCUUGAGUCCGAUAGAGGUGGGUGGAAUUCCUAGUGUAGAGGUGAAAUUCGUAGAUAUUAGGAAGAACACCGGUGGCGAAGGCGGCCCACUGGAUCGGUACUGACGCUGAGGUGCGAAAGCGUGGGGAGCAAACAGG